Molecule: transfer RNA, 81 nt
Filed under: Haemaphysalis longicornis (longhorned tick)
Lineage: Eukaryota; Metazoa; Arthropoda; Arachnida; Ixodida; Ixodidae
Rfam family: tRNA
About the family: Transfer RNA (tRNA) molecules are approximately 80 nucleotides in length. Their secondary structure includes four short double-helical elements and three loops (D, anti-codon, and T loops).
Source: Rfam by way of RNAcentral
GCAGUCGUGGCUGAGUGUUAAAGCGAUGGACUAGAAAUCCAUUGGGGUCUCCCCGCACAGGUUCGAAUCCUGUCGACUGCG